This 440-nucleotide ribosomal RNA is filed under the name uncultured bacterium. RNAcentral's name for it is "partial 16S ribosomal RNA". It matches the Rfam family "Bacterial small subunit ribosomal RNA", at positions 338 to 795 of the family's 1533-position model. The record is from RNAcentral.
CCUACGGGCGGCUGCAGUGGGGGAUAUUGCACAAUGGGGGAAACCCUGAUGCAGCGACGCCGCGUGAGUGAAGAAGUAUUUCGGUAUGUAAAGCUCUAUCAGCAGGGAAGAAAAUGACAGUACCUGACCAACAAGCCCCGGCUAACUACGUGCCAGCAGCCGCGGUAAUACGUAGGGGGCAAGCGUUAUCCGGAUUUACUGGGUGUAAAGGGAGCGUAGGCGGUUAUGUAAGUCUGGAGGGAAAGCCCGGGGCCGAACCCCGGGACUGCUGUGGAAACUGUGUAACUGGAGUGCAGGAGAGGCAGGCGGAAUUCCUGGUGUAGCGGUGAAAUGCGUAGAUAUCAGGAGGAACACCGGCGGCGAAGGCGGCCUGCUGGACUGAAACUGACGUUGAGGCUCGAAAGCGUGGGGAGCAAACAGGAUUAGAUACCCUGGUAGUC